This 253-nucleotide ribosomal RNA is filed under the name uncultured bacterium. RNAcentral describes it as "partial 16S ribosomal RNA". It matches the Rfam family "Bacterial small subunit ribosomal RNA", at positions 524 to 776 of the family's 1533-position model. The record is from RNAcentral.
UACGUAGGGUGCGAGCGUUAAUCGGAAUUACUGGGCGUAAAGCGUGCGCAGGCGGUUCGUGAUGUCUGGUGUGAAAGCCCCGGGCUUAACCUGGGAAUUGCAUUGGAAACUAGCGGGCUGGAGUGUGGCAGAGGGGGGUGGAAUUCCACGUGUAGCAGUAAAAUGCGUAGAGAUGUGGAGGAACACCGAUGGCGAAGGCAGCCCCCUGGGCUAACACUGACGCUCAUGCACGAAAGCGUGGGGAGCAAACAGG